RNAcentral lists this ribosomal RNA (440 nucleotides) under uncultured bacterium. RNAcentral's name for it is "partial 16S ribosomal RNA". It matches the Rfam family "Bacterial small subunit ribosomal RNA", at positions 338 to 795 of the family's 1533-position model. The record is from RNAcentral.
CCUACGGGUGGCAGCAGUGGGGAAUAUUGCACAAUGGGGGAAACCCUGAUGCAGCAACGUCGCGUGAGUGAUGAAGUACCUCGGUAUGUAAAGCUCCAUUAGCAGGGAAGUAGACGACGGCACCUGAUUCAGAAUCCCCGGCCAACUACGGGCCAGCAGCCGCGGUUCCACGGAAGGGGCCGGCGUUAUCCGGAUUUACUGGGUGUAAAGGGAGCGCAGUCGGCAGUGCAAGUCUGGAGUGAAAGCCCGGGGCCCAACCCCGGAACUGCCCGGGAAACUGGGCGGCUAGAGUGCUCGAGGGGCAGGCGGAAUUCGUGGUGUAGCGGUGAAAUGCGUAGAUAUUAGGAGGAACACCGAUGGCGAAGGCAGCCUGCUGGAGAGUAACUGACGUUGAGGCUCGAAGGCGUGGGGAGCAAACAGGAUUAGAUACCCGGGUAGUC